ACACACCCACACACAAACAUAUAUAUAUAUAUAUAUAUAUAUAUAUAUAUAUAUAUGCCAAGGAGCCUUAUUUUGGGGUGUCGUGUUCUGAGCCCCGACACUGUCUUUAUAAGGAGAUAACUUUCUGAAAUAUAUGCAAGUAUUUAUGAUUCAUUGAAUGAGAUAUUUAUUACGCAUUUAUGAAAACCUCUGUACUUCUCUAUGUGUUUGUUAGUUAAUUCGUGUUACAUAUAAAUAUGCAUUAAGUAAUCUGAGCCACAGCUUUUGAGGAGCUUGGAAUCUAAAGAAUCUAAAUGGAAAGAGACAGAGAUGAAAUUGUUUUAAGAAUUAACUAUGUUUUAAAAUAUUAACAAUAACGAAAGUAAUGCUUAAAGAGCAUAACCUUCAGCUUCCCACUUUGAAGCUGGCAGUCCUAGCAUGGCUUUCUUCAUCGUCCAUUUCCCUCUUUUUAAAACCUUCAGAGCCUUUAAAUGUUUCCCCCAUUUGGGUAAUUUUAUAUUAAUAUGUAAACCUUGACAUAAAAAUUUGGGGAUUCUUUGGUGAUUAGGGGUCUAGCAAGUUUGCUUCUACACACAGAGAGAGAGACAGACCCUACCUGGGAAGGGAAAAUAGGGCAAAUUAUCAAUUUGUCCAAUUAGUGUUGCUGGACAUAUGUAUUUGAUAAUACAAAUAAAUGUCGAGACUAGUAUUUCUUAGCAAAUUCAGCCACACAAUUCCCAUCUUUUAUGAAAUGCAUCCUUUACCAGAUUGGAAACUAAGAGGAAAAGCAUUACUUCUAUUAAAAUCAAUUCUAGUUUCCCUUCCUAAAAUUGGGCAUUACUUAUCUACAUCAUAUUUGGUACGCAAUUCCAGGAUAAUCACAUUUUCCAACUGGACAGGGCUCUAGUUCAAAUGCUUCACCUUUCACAGUGACUUAGAAUGGUUUAGAGAUUUAUCCAGUGCCUUGUUCUUGGUGAGUCUAGCAUCUUAGUCGCAUCCUGUAAGCACUUGAUCAUUGCCUGCCACUAGACACUGAGUGUACAUGGAAUUUUAGGGUAUCGUUCAUUCAUUUACAGCUUACCAUAAUAGGAAAAUUUAGAAAGUAAAACUAUAAUUGCUACCUAUUCUAUUAAUCUUGCUGACAUUCUAAUUCACUUACCUUGAAGAAUUUAAGCCAGCAGAUUUGGUGUCAUAAGAAUCAUGGACUAUUUUUAGCAAAGACUUCAUAUCACUUUUCAUUGACUGGAUGAUGCAAUGAUGAGACUUGAAAAAUUAGCCAAAUUCCCAUCAUUGUGUUUUAUCAUCCUGAUGGAAGCAAUGCUGUUGAAUUUCAAGAGGUUAGCAUAAUCAAUACAAUGAAGUUACAGCAAAAGGGGAGAUGUCUCUAUUAUUGAAGUUUUACAAAAAUAUUAAAUGUUUGGAUUGAUUUUUUUUUUAAAUUGCACACACAUAACUCUGUGGAGUGUCUAAUAGUCAAAAAUAGGUUGAGUGUGAUCAGGAUAAAUAGCUAAUGCAUGUGGGACCUAAUACCUAGGUGAUGAGUUGAUAGGUGCAGCCAACUACCAGGGCACAUGUUUACGAAUGUAACAAACCUACACGUCCUGCACAUGUAUCCUGGAACUUAAAAUAAAAUAAAAUAUUUUAAAACUAGGUUGAGUAUGAAUGAGAGGGAAAACAGAAGUGAGCCAGUUCAUAAUUAUAGGCUAAAGAUUAUAGUGAAAUCAGAUCACAUCUUACAUUUCACAUUAUUUUUUCUGUACUUAGACAUUAAGCCCUCAUUUCGUUUCACAAACUUCCCACCAAUGAUCUAACCCAGCAAGAUUCUGUCCCUGCAUGGGCAGCCCCAGCUACCUCAGCCCCGUCUGUGUCCACCUCCCACCCUCCAGUCCAUUCCCUUGGCCUCCUCCAUCUUUCUCAUGCCCAUCAUGCAUGCUCUACCCUUGGGUCCUUGGUGCAGAGAGGUCUACUCUGCCUGGAAUGCUCUAUAUAGAUAUGCUUGUGGCUGACUCUCUGAUUCCUUUCAGGUCCCUGAAGAAAUAUCAUUUCUCAGAGGUAUUGUGUCUGACCACAACAUCUAAGAUAGCACCACCUCUGCCAUAAGAUAGCACCACCUCUGCUUAUCAUAUGUUGCCUGUAUCUCCACCGGCAACAUUUCAUCUUCAUUUAUUUAAUCGUUGUUUUCUGUCUUCAUGUUCAUGCACUACACCAUAGGCUGUAUGACAGCGGGGUCUUUGUUUUGUUCAUUGCAACAUCUACAGCACCUACAUCAGUUUCUGACACUUAGUGGAUGCUUCAUAAAUAAUUGAGAGAUAAUCAAUGAAUUUUCUUCACGAGAAGAUAAUUUUUUUGAUUUAAUCGUAUGUAUUUAAAACCCUUUCUGUAGAAGACAUGCACAGAUUGGGGGAACAUAUUGCAGAACACAUUCUUAUUGGGGACCCCUCUACACUACAAGAAGAUAAUUUUGAAAGGCAACAGUGAAGGAAACAGAUAAAGUCCCUUUCUUCCUAGGGCUUACAAAAUUUGUUUUGUGUGAAAGGUAGACUUCAAUUUAAACCUUCCAUUAUAGUAAUGUUACGCAUAUUCUAGUUCAUUAGCACAGUACAUAGGCUCAUAUUAGGCUUAAAGAGACCAAGAAAGAGAAUAAAAACCAGAAAAGAAUAUAGAUAAAUUCCUUAGUUUGUUAACAGCAUGAAAUUAUAUAUUUAUCAAGAGAGCAUGCUCCUCCAUCACAGAGGCAGGGUUUAAUAAAGAAUAAAAUAUGUUAAUAUUUUACUCUUAAAGAUUACUAGUAUACUAGACACUCUCUCAGAUAGACACAGGUGAGAUAGCCUGUUAUUGAAAUUUAGGAUAUUAGAUUUAUUUUUCCUCAUUAAAAUUUUUCUCUCUCUAGUUACUUAAUUUGUCAAUUUGACUGAGAGAAACAAAAAUUUUUAAAGGAUACAAAAAUUUUCCUUGAUCUACAAAAAUAAACACAUGAGACACUAUUUUGUUUUUUAAUCUAGCACUGUCAAGGGAAUACUUCUUAUAACAAACUGUACCUGCCAGAAGUUUUGUAACUAAGCAAUAGUCACAUGGUCUGUGGCUAGCAGGAUAAUUGCAAAGUACUUAAGGACAAAUCAUUCCCUUGUGUCUUUGUAAUGACUGUAUAACUUGUUCCUUAAAGACUCCAAUGGCAUUAUGCAAAUUUAAAUACACUUCUACUUCCCACUUACAAAGAGCAUACAAUGAAUGCUAUAUAUGAAUUAUUGUUUGACGCUAGAAGAUAACACAAUUUAGGUUAUUGGUUCUAUGCGUUUGUUAGUCACAAAAUUUCAUGUCCUGUGAUAGUGAUGAAAAGUAGAAUGUUUUAUUUAAAUAUUUAUCUUUCCCAUAAAAAAUUUUCUUUUAGAUAAAUAAAAAGAAGUCUGUCUUUACAUAUUAUAACUACCUAUUCGUGUGAAUUUUUUAAUAUAAUAUUUCAUGGUAUUUUUGGCACCUCUCUUUUUGUAGGAUACCAUUGAUUCAUUACUCUAGGAGUUUUCUUUUCCACUACAAUUGUAAAAAAGCUAAAAUUCUGAACAUGAUCAUCUUUUUUUUUCUAAUUCUUACAUCCAUAAUUCAUGUACAAAGUUCUCCUUAAUAGUCUUCUAACUAGUCAUAUUGAUCUUUUCUGCCCCCUGCCCCAAUUUUCCUUAAACAUAACAGCAGUGUUCUAUCUAUAGACACCACUCUAAACAUGUUGCUGCUCUUUUGUUUUUAACAAGGUAACAUGUACAAAAUGGCUACCUUCAUACACGAUGCCCCUCACCCCACACAAUGCACAUACUGUGAUGUAAAAAUUGUGACAGAGGAAGAAAGGUUGUAUAUGUGGAUUUGGGGAAUCUGCCUGGGUGUCCCCAUAUUCCAUUUCUUUUCUAUUACUCCCUCCACACACAUUUAUUUUGAAGUAGGCCCAUCUCCACUAGUAUUCUUUACUUUGUCCAAACAAAUGUACGUUUCUCUUUGUGCCUUAUGGAUAAACUCCAAAUUCCUGGCACAUAAUGUUCCUUCUAUUCAAAACCUUGCUAAAAAUCAAUCUCUUGACACUUUCUAAGGCUUCUCUUCAAUCAUGCCUUCAUUCCUUCAAAAUGAAUGCAACUCUCUCCAUAUGCAGUUGUAAUUAGCUUUGUACAUUAUGUUUCUUGGCUUCUUGUGAAUGGCUAAUGAGUACCUCUCUCUUUUUCUCUGUGAAAUUUAUAAAUUUAAAUUGCUAAGGAGAUCUGAGGGUGGAGGGGAAGGGGGUCUCACUCUGAGAUCAGAAAUUGUUUUGUGAAAAAGCAGCUUUUGAGAGAUGUAGAGGUAUGGGUAGUAUAACUAAUGUGGAGGAAUGGCUGCUAUACCUGAUAGCUAUGUCACUUUAAGAAGUAGGCAAUGAUAUAAAGGUGAACUUAUGUAGAUUAUGUCACUUUCAUGGGCAUUUUAAUUUUCUAGUUUAUAAAAUGUAAAACAGAAACAGCAGGUUAAGUAAAUAAAUGAAACUGGUUGGGCCCAAGAAUUGCUUGCUUUCUUGGUCAUUUUGCACUUUGGCAUUCAAUAGACAAAGCGUAUAUGGUACAUUUAUUUUCCCUCUUUACUAUAAGGAAACAACACAAAUGCCGUAAUACGUGGCCACGGACACUUGGGACCUGCUAUGUGGAAAGCAAAUGCCCUAUUUAAAAAGGACCGCUGCAAUUUAGUUCUAUCUGUUGUCAUGUAGGAAUGGGAGCACAAUAUUGACAGACUGGAGUUUUCAGAAGAAGUAAGCAGAUUUUUAUAUGAGAUCUCCUGACUUCUAAAUGUGAAUUCUAACAAAACCCAAACCCCAACCAUGUGGACUGAAUGAAACACAACAAAGCCAUAUCCGGCCCACAGAUUGCUGUGAUAUAUGUCCUGAAGAUCCUUUCUGUGCCAGAGAACUAUGAUUUUAAAUUCCUUGAUAACAGAAACCGUGUCUACUCUUUCCUCUUCAACUAUAUCAACAAAGCAUUUUAACUGGAGAUCAACAACUGAUCAUCAGAUAUUUUUAUCACAUCAAAACUUUCAUUGGAUUGAAUUUUUGUAGGAAAUUUUGACCUAUAGAGGUAUUUUCAGUGGACAGGGAGCAUUGGUAAUUCUGAGGACAACUAUUUAUAAGAAAAGGCUCAAAUGCUGAACUGUGGAACAUAGAAAAGAUUUAGUAGCAUGCAAAGAAAAUAGAUCGAAGUAGCUGGAGAGAAUGGGAUCAUGUCUGGGAGUGCAGGACGAUGAGUAAUCAAGGAAAAGGGAGUUAUUCAUAAUAGUCAGCUCUGCUGACUGGCCUUUUGAAGGAAAAAAAUAAAAAAUGAUUAGUAUAGGGAAGAAGCAAUUUGAUUUGGCUUAGAGGAGGUUAUUGGAAACCUUGGAAAGGGUGGCUUUUUUCAGUAGUUGGGAUGGAAGCCAGACUGGAGAAGGUUAAAGGGAUUAGAGGUGAGAAACUGGGAGAUCCAGAGGUAUGCUGCUUUUCCAGGAGGUUGGACACAAAGGAAGAAGGGCUGGGGUGAGAGUGGAGGAAUCCAUCUGUUUCAGUGAAGAUGGCGUGCUGGAUAUGGGGAAUACCUGUGCAUGCUUGAAGUUGGAUGGUGAUACAUCCUCUUCAUUGUCCUUGGUAUCUUGGAAACCCUUCUACUGAGUUCAGUGUCUGUCUUCUUCCUGGGGCCACCAUUAUUGGAGCGGAACCAUAUGCUUCUGCCCUGGAGACUGCAGCAUUAUAUCAGGAUGCCAAGAGCUAAGGAAGAGCUCAUGUCCCCAGGUGUCUUACAGCCAUUUCCUUUUAUCCCUAUUGAAUGUUAUGGCACACUUCCAUGUUCACAAAUUUAAAUAUUCCUGCUGGCCUAUUAUUUGCAGAAAAUUAAACGUAACUGCUGAUUGGGAAGUAUAUAAAUAAAUAUAAAUAAAUAGAAAUCUA
Homo sapiens (human) is the source of this 5899-nucleotide long non-coding RNA. RefSeq lists it as uncharacterized. NCBI's taxonomy places the organism in Eukaryota, Metazoa, Chordata, Mammalia, Primates, Hominidae. The transcript is spliced from 2 exons. The record is from RefSeq and is a predicted model, not a curated record.